Penicillium roqueforti is the source of this 72-nucleotide non-coding RNA. NCBI's taxonomy places the organism in Eukaryota, Fungi, Ascomycota, Eurotiomycetes, Eurotiales, Aspergillaceae. The record is from the annotation of a RefSeq genome assembly.
CAGGUUAGUGUCCGAUGGUUGGUCGCUUCAUUUGGGUUGGAGAUUGUUUAUGUUCGAAUCAUAAUAACCUGA